Molecule: long non-coding RNA, 13119 nt
Filed under: Vitis vinifera (wine grape)
Lineage: Eukaryota; Viridiplantae; Streptophyta; Magnoliopsida; Vitales; Vitaceae
Description: long non-coding RNA (VVIN_LNC002752)
Rfam family: small nucleolar RNA snoR135 (bases 4112-4259)
Source: RNAcentral
UUAGACCAUGUAGUGGCGCUUGAAGUAAUUCCAUCAAAUGUGAUAUCUUGCCUUCCAAAUUUGCAGAUGUUUAGAAUGCUGCACGCCUUGGAUAUUGUAGAAUAUGAUGAAGUUGGAGUGUUGCAGGAGCUGGAGUGCUUGGAAUACCUCAGUUGGAUAAGUAUCACCUUACUUACAGUCCCAGCUGUUCAAAUAUAUCUCACCUCCUUGAUGCUGCAAAAGUGCGUACGAGAUCUAUGCUUGAUGACGUGCCCAGGUUUGAAGGUGGUGGAGCUGCCACUUUCGACUUUGCAAACACUCACUGUGCUUCGAUUUGAAUAUUGUAAUGAUUUGGAACGUGUUAAAAUAAAUAUGGGACUGUCUCGAGGUCAUAUCUCAAACUCAAACUUCCACAACCUUGUUAAGGUGUUUAUUAUGGGAUGUCGAUUCUUGAACCUGACUUGGCUUAUUUAUGCUCCAAGCCUUGAGUUCCUGUCAGUUCGUGCUAGUUGGGAAAUGGAAGAAAUUAUAGGGAGUGAUGAGUAUGGAGACUCAGAAAUUGACCAACAAAAUCUCAGCAUAUUCUCAAGACUUGUGACGUUACAGUUGGAAGAUCUCCCAAAUCUGAAGAGUAUCUACAAGCGAGCUUUGCCAUUUCCUUCCCUCAAAGAGAUCAAUGUGGGUGGUUGUCCAAAUCUAAGGAAAUUGCCAUUGAAUUCCAAUAAUGCCACCAACACUUUAAAAGAAAUUGCGGGGCAUCCAACCUGGUGGGAGCAGUUGGAGUGGGAGGAUGACAACCUCAAGCGCAUUUGCACUCCGUAUUUCAAAAAAAGGUAUUAGAGUUCUAUGUCAUGGAGGUUUGUUGGAAUUGUUGGGUUUCCUUCAUUUCCUUUCCUCCCUGUUUUCUAACAAACCCAUUGGCCUUCCUCUCCCAGGUACAUUUUCUGUUUUCGCUUCCAUUUGUUUUAUGUCAUGAGAGAUGUUUGAAUGCACUUCCACAUAUAAAUAUUGUUCAAGAAAUGAAGUUUUGUCCAAGGCAAAUGAAUGAUUGUUUUUGUAGGAGAAGUUUUUGAAGAACAUUUGGUGCAAUUGUUGAGUAAUCGGAUGGUGGGAAUGCAUAGGAAGGACAUCAAAAUAGUAAUUGUGAAGAAAGAACUUUUUGUAUGUAUGUGUAUUGUGAAGUUUUAAGGUGAUCAAUUUCCUAUGUUUCUAUAAAAUUUGACUAUUCUUAGCUUAAGUUUCUGUCUUGAAAUAUUCUAAAUAUUAUCUUGAAGGUGUAAACGUCUUAUAUUGUGUGAAAACAUGGAUGGGGUGAAUAGAUACUUCUCUAAUUUUAAAAGUUUUGCAUUCUUUGAUUCAAUUAUAAGAUUUUGCCUACCCUAAACAUUAUUCUCUUUUAGAAUUUAAUAUUAUUAAAAAAAUGUAAGGAUUAAAUUAAAAUAUGGAUGAAAGUAGACGAUUGAUUUUUUGUAAGAUUUAUUAAAUAUUAAACAUAAAUAUUUUUAAUUUUAUUUUUUUGGGAAAAUAAAAUUAUUUUUGAUGAUUUUUAGUAAUUUGUUGAUGAGUGGGGAAAUUUUUUCCAUGUUAUAUCAAUAUUAUUAUUGGUUUGGUAAAAAAAAAAUGGUAUAGGUGAAAAUGAAGUGUCACUUUCCUUCUUCAUAAUUUUUAUUUAAAAUAAUUUUAAAUUGUUUUAAAAGUUACUAUUGUAAUAAAAUCGAAGCAUACUUUAUAUUUUGUCAAUGAAAUUUAACAUUUUAAAUUUGUUAGCAUUUAUUUGUAUGUUUAUCUUUUAAAUUUUUUUUCAUUUAAACAAUUUAAAGCAUAGUAAAAUAAAUUCUUACUUGAAUUUCAAUCUUUAAUUUCUGAAAUUCAAAAAUAUUUAUAAUAUUUAUGAAUUUUUUUUAUUGUUAUUUAACACUAAGAAAUAAUGGUUACUUUUUUUUUUUUUUGUUACUUGAUUUACAUCAUUUAAAAAUCAAAUUUUUUAUUUAAAAAAAAAAUCAUAUAUCACUCAAUAGUCCCAAAAAAAAAUCAUAUAUCACUCAAUCAUUUAAAUUCUAUAUAAUUUAGUCUAGGUUCACUUACAAUUUGAUAUUGUUUUUAAAAAAACAAGUUUAAAGAUUAAAUUAAAAUAUGGGAAAGUGGUCAAGUGAUUUUUAUAAUUUAAUCUAAUUUAUUUAUAUUGUUUUUAAAAAAACAAGUUUAAAGAUUAAAUUAAAAUAUGGGAAGAAAUAUUGCAAAAUGGGAGUCAAGAAAUCCAACAGAAAUGUCUCGGAACCUGUCCUGAGAAUUGCAGGUCAAGCUACAGGCUGGGGAAGAUUGUGAGUAGAAAGAUCGAUGCUGUGACUGAAUUAAAGGGCAAAGGGCAUUUUGAUUUUGUGGCUCAUAGAUUGCCUUGUGCUCCUGUGGAUGAGAGACCGAUGGGGAAGACUGUGGGCUUAGACUUGAUGUUCGAGAAGGUUCGGAGAUGCCUGGAAGAUGAGCAAGUAAGAAGUAUUGGGUUGUAUGGAAUUGGGGGUGUUAGAAAAACGACCCUCUUGCGGAAAAUCAAUAAUGAGUAUUUUGCAAAAAAUACUCAUUAUUUCCUGUUUUUUGGCUUUUUAUUGGAUUUAAAAUGUUGGGAUAUUAAAAGAAUUUCACUAUUUUAAAAUUUAGAAUUUUUUAAAAUAAAUUUUAAGGGUACAAAAUAAGAUUAUAUGUUUCAUAUAAAAGUUUCUAUAUUAAGUUUUAUUUUAAAAAAAAAAAUUAGUGUCCUUUUGGAUAUAUAUUUCCUGUUUUUUGGCUUUUAAUUGGAUUUAAAAUGUUGGGAUAUUAAAAGAAUUUCACUAUUUGGCCAUGGGAAGCGAAAUUUAGUGUCCUUUUGGAUAUAUAUUUCCUGUUUUUUGGCUUUUAAUUGGAUUAAAAAUGUUGGGAUAUUAAAAGAAUUUCACUAUUUUAAAUUUUAGAAUUUUUUAAAAUAAAUUUUAAGGGUACAAAAUAAGAUUAUAUUUUUCAUAUAAAAGUUUCUAUAUUAAGUUUUAUUUUAAAAAAAAAAUGUAUCCAAGCAAGUCUUAAUAAUAAUUUCUUUAGGUUUAUGAAUUUGAUAUUGCAAAAAAAAUUAAAUAAAAAUUUGUUUUGCACCUUCCUUUAGGAAAAGGAGUGGUUAUAAAUAGAAAUGAUUAGGGGUGUAAUACAUUGGUCCCACCCAACCCAUCCUGAACCCAAUUGCAUAUUUGAAUGGCUUUGGGCAAAUAUUUUCAUUAUUCUGAUUAAAUUUGUGUUAAAUUUUUUCAAUUUAAACUUAACUUGGGUUAGCUUCAAACCAAGCUUGGAAUAGUUAAUGUUUUUAUAAUGUUUAUGAUAUUUAUUAUUAUGUAUAGUAAUAUUUAAUUUUUUUAUAUUUUUAAGAAAAAUAUCAAGUUAUAAUUAUUUUUUUUUUCAUUUUUUAAAGAAAUAUAUAUAUAUAUAUAUAUAUAUAUAUAUAUAUAUGAGUUUAUUUAUAAUUUUUUUGUUGUUAUUUUGAAAUUUUAUAUAUAGAUAAAAAAAGUUUUUAAAAAAACAUUAUGAAUGAAUUUUAAAUAAUGCAAUUCAAUCAAUCCUAUCAAUAAUCAAAUUUAGUUGAAUUAAUCUGAAUUUAAUUUAAUCAACUCAAAUUUAAAAAAAUAAGGUUGAAUUGGAUUUAGAUUAGGUACAUUUAGAGAUUAAUUUAGAUUAAGUUUAGGUUGGUUGUUUGUUAAUUUGAUGUAAAAAUGCAGGAUAAGUUUUAUAUUUGUAAAUAAAUAAAAAUAAAAAAGACCUGAGAAAUAAUAAAUAAAUAAUGUAAAAGAGUAUAAAAGGAAGGGUGGUGGAGAAAAAAAAAAGGUAAAAAAUUGCUAGUCGAGCCAGGUCAUUGCGUUAACGACGCAAAUAAGGGGUUGUGUGAAGGGCAUUUUGGUCAAUCUAAUUUGAUGUUUGGAACUUGAAAGUUGAAACCCUAGCAAAACCCUAAUCGUCUCAUACGUGUGUAUAUAUAAACACAUACGCACAGAGAGUGCCAGAACAAACCUCCUAAUCUCCCAAAGCGGUAUUUUUUUGUCUCUCUCUGAUCUGGUAUUACAAUUCUUCUGCCACAGAAAUUAGGGUGAGGGAUUUGGUAGAACGUUAGGAAAUGUUAGAAGCAGGGAUUGUGUGUAUCGGCGUUGUGCUACAAUUGAUGCGCGAUGAAGCCGAAAGAGUUCCCUGCAAUAAUGAUCGAGGGGAAGGUGGGCAGUUGGGUUUCAUCUCUACCAUUGAAAUUCUCAACAAUCAUCUUCCCCACNNNNNNNNNNNNNNNNNNNNNNNNNNNNNNNNNNNNNNNNNNNNNNNNNNNNNNNNNNNNNNNNNNNNNNNNNNNNNNNNNNNNNNNNNNNNNNNNNNNNUAUAUAUAUAUCAUAUUUAUUUUAUAUUAUUGAAUAUAUCUAAAUUAAAUAAAUUAUAAUUUUAAUAUUAAAUGUAAUAUUAUUUAUUUAAUUAAUCUUAUUUUAAAACCGUUAUUAUCAUUUUACUUUUAAAUUUUUUUAUAUUUAUCUUUUUAAUUUUAUUUAAUUUUAAAUAUUUUUAUUUUAAAAUAUUUAAAAUAUAAACUUACUCAAAAAUUAAUAAAAUGUAAAAAAUUAAUUAAAUUUUAAUAUUUUAUAAAUUAAAAUUAAUUUAACAAGAUAAAUUUUUAAUAUGAUUUUUAAUAUUUUAAAUUAUUUAAAUAAAUUAAUGUCAAUAGCAAAAAAUUAUCAUCAUAAAUUUAUAUUAAAAAUUUUAAAAUUAAAUCUCAAAUAAAAUAUUUUAUUUUAUAUAAAUAAUAUAAAUGAUUUAAUUUUUAUUUAAAAUUAAAUAAAGCAUGUUUUAAAAUUUUAAAAUAAAUGAAUAUAAAUAUAUUUAUUUAUAUUCCUUUUGAAUGAACAAUGGAUAACAGAAAAACUGCUUUGAGAAAGCCACACAAGUGAUGAAGUAUGGGCUUCAUAUCGUAUGUUUGUUUCCCAUUGUGAAAUCUUGUUUUCAAUAUCAUUCCCAACUUCCAAAUUAUAUCAAUAGAUUGGAUUUGGGAGGGGUGUUUGGGUUAUAACCAAGGACUUGAGAUCAUCAUGAGCCUUAGCUUUAAUGGUCUCUUGGAUGAUAAUGUACCAAAAUGUAUAUUAGUAAUUAACAUAUAUAUGAAUACAAGUCACUGAGUUUGAAAGCAAUAUCGAUCCCAUUGCUACUCAGGAGACCCACACCUACAUAAGCCUUUUUUUUUUCUAACUAUCAAACAUAUUUUUUUUUUUGUUCUAAAAAAUAGAACAAACCUUUAAUCUUCAAUGAUUUGAAUUUCAAGUUUCCAAUGAAGAUUUGAAAUUUUGAAAAUUAUCGACUAAAUAUUAUCAAUAUCAAAGCACUACCACGCGCUAGUCAACACGAUCAAAGCCAAAAUUAUUUUUAACUUUGUCAAAUCUACAUUGGUGUUCCAUAUCUAUAUGUAAAUCAACUGCCCAGAAAGGUAGGAAGGUUGCAAAGAUGUUUUUAUAUCCAAACAUUUGGUCUUGGACUUGGAAAAAAAAAAUGAAGCUUCCAUGUAUUUUGUUUUAAUUAUAGCAUUACAUUGCCUUCUGAAUUCCAGGACUAAAAGAUUCAUGAUUUUUUUUUGUGCCCCAGAAACUUUGAAUCAGAGGACAGAAGAACAGUAAGGAGCAAUGCACCUUAUUCUUCAAAGUUCAAUGGCAAGAAGAACAGAAUUUUGAUUACAUAUUCCACUUAUUCAUCAAUGUGGUUUUCUUCUGGGGUGCCAUCAUCCAUGGUUUCUUCAGCUUAUUCUGAUCAAACCAAUAAUGAGAAAGUGCCUCCUCAGGUUAAAGCUAUCAGUACCAAAAUGGAAUUCAAUCGGGUGAAUUGUCUUGUGUGGGUAUUGCAUGAGUCUGCUAGGAGCUUUUCCCACACGGUUGAAUCUUUUAAAUUGGCUAGAAGCCGUCCAGAGCUAGCAAUGGCUUGGGUGGCAGUUGAUGUGCAUGCCUGGCAUAAGCGCAUUGCCCAUCAGGUAUGCACUUACACAAAAGCCAUUAGCACUAAGUGAUUAGGGUUCUUCCUCCAUAAACUGAUACAGAGUAUCAUGCUUGUACUUUUAUGACUUUCUUGUUGGCAAGAUAAAUUUAAAUAAGAAUUAUACCAUUGUGGUAGGACAGGUAGCAGUUUAUGCUUUAUUAAGAACUGCAAUUGAACUGGAAUUCAUUCUUUCUCAUGGACGCUGCAACAGUCCUUCUCUAGUUCGUGAGAUGUAAGUUCUAAAAUCGUCUUUUAGAAGUCUAAUGUUAAUGGAUUUGCUUUAGUCCUGGAAGUUGUAGUUGGUUAACUAGUGAAACUUGCACAUGCUAUGCCUGAAAACAUCUUUUUGAAGUUUUGUUUGAACUUCCAUACAUGAUAUUCCAUCACUUGUGGCUCAGUUUUGAUGUCUCUUCCUCACUUCAAAGGCAAACGGUGAUUGCAACCUUGUAUGCUACGACUAACAUUUUGUUCCUUCAUUUCAUUCAGCUUGUCCCCAAUGAUAAACUCGGUCAAGCAAAACAUAGAAAGCCGGUUGAAGACAAGGCACCCAAAAUUGGUUGAAUGGUUUAGAAUGGUGGAACUGCCACGUAUAGCGGGAUUUUUCAUUCCAUUGUUGAAGAAGUGGUCUAUGGAAUAUGCUGGAAGGUUAGCUCACAGAAUUCUUAAAUCUUGGACAAAUUCCCACUGCUCUCACAGGUUUAUUUUUUCAUCUAGUACCUUGAAUUGGAAAAAUAGUAUAAAACACAAUAAUUUUCAGUGGUGUUGCAGGGAUUAUUCUGGCUAUAAGCUGCCGUGUGGCAGUAGGAAAAUUGGGUUCUGACCAUAUUUCCUGCCCCUUGUUUAUAUCGUCUAUUGAGGACGCAUUAAUAGAUCUCAUGAAUUUGUCACACAGUCUUGUUUCAGUGGAUAAAUUGUACCAGUUGGCCACUGAGGCAGGUUUUGAACGGGAGUUCCUGUAUAAUUUUGGUACAAAGAUUCAGCUUAGCCAGAAAAGUGAAGAUGUAGAAUUUUGGAUUGGUUUGGCUCAGAAAAAACUCGCUAAAGCAAUUCGCAGAGAAAGUGUAUUUUCAGGCCUUCAGACUUUUCAAGACAAGGUCAGUUCAGUGAUUCAUGCAAUAACCUCCUGGCCUUUGUCAUGGACACUCUUGGACAAUCCCUAGAUAGUUUCAUUUUCAAUUUACUGGACCAUAAGAGUUUGUUCUAAAGGAAUCCAUCAAAGCUAAGUGUGCAAGUUCUACAGAAGCAAACAUAUGGUUAUCAUCCCAAAUGUCGAUCCCUCAUUCGGAAUUGUGAAUAUUUGAAUGCUAAGGGAAGUAUUUCUAAUGUUCUAAGCCCUGGUCUUACCUUUGUCUAUUAAUGGUUGACAGGUUCAAGAGAGUAAUUGUCUGGCUACUCUAGGAAUUUUUGCAUUUCUGGGAAGAAAAACAAGAUUAUUCUUCUCAGGAAUGGGAAUAAAGGAUCUUGAUGAGCAGGUUAAGGACUUCCUCAGGUGCAUCACUCUGCAUUUUUUUUCUAUAACCCUCUUAAACUUCUCAACUUUAUCCUUAAGACUCCAAUAGGUUCAAUGCUUUGAUUUCAGUUACUUGGAGUGCGGUAGCCUUUUCAUUUACCCCAAGUUUUCUUCACUCUCUGUGUAUCAACUUUUCAUGGAGGUCAGUUAGUUUUGAUACACUUACAAUAGGGAUGUGAAAAUAUUCAAACUCCCUUUACAGGUAGUAGCUGAUGAAAUUGGAUGGCUUGAUUUUUAUGCUGCAUUUUCUUUCGGAUUCAAUCAAGAGAGAAGGAGUUCCAAACCGCAUGCCAUCCAAGCAGAGAAAGAGAUUAUUUUACAUACUGUUUUUACGGUUUGCUGUGAUGUUUUCUCUGGGUUUGCACAUUUCAGCAGUUCAACUCAGCAGCCCUUAAAUGCAGACUUGUAGGCAUUCUUGCUCUGAAGGUAGUAAGCAUAAUCUCAAUUUUAAAUUUUCUUUCCUGAAGUUGCCAUGAUUGUUGAUUUAUUUUAACUUUUUAUUUUAUUUUAUUUUUUUUCAGUCAGAGCCUACUUACUAGUUGUCUGGAAGACUACUGGGCUGCCUAUGAUAGAUCAGGGUACCGAUUUCUCAAGCAGUCAGCUGCAGAAGAUUACAGAAAGAAAUGCCCUUGACCCAACACAAUCCAUUGGAACUAAAAGCACUACAAGUUCAUCUCUAACCUUGGAAGCACAACAGAAGGUGACCGACUUAAUGGCAAGGGGAAAUCCAAAAAAAAACCUCAGUCUGGGAAUAAACUGAGCAAGGUAUGAGUCCUCAGUGGAUAGAUGGACCCAACAACAACUGUGAAACAACAUUCUGAAAUUAUUCUUCGUAAAUAAAUGACUGCAAUACACAAUUUUAGGCAACAAUUACCAUAAUUUGCUGCUGGCAGGCUAGCUGCAAAGUGGGGACAGAGACAAGAACCCUGGUGGAGGCAGGAAGGACAGCUGAAUCAGAGGCUCUGCAUCAAAUUUUACUCAGGAAAUCCAGCAUGAAGUUGAUAUCUACAAGCUCUGUAAGUCCAAUGAUCAUCUGACUCGAUGAUUGGUAAAAAAAAACCAUGUCAAAGUUCAGAUGCUAAUGCUUCAAAUUGAACUGUGUUUAAGGAUAUAUGGAUGGGCACUCAGCUGCUCUUCAUAGACAUCAUGGCUUCUCUGGAGCUUCUGCUAAAGCAAAUGCGUGGCCGCAGGAUUACAGAAAGGGAAAGAAAGAAGCUAAAACAAACACUAGCUGGUAUUGCUUCACUUAUCCCAGUUACAACUGUAAUGCUACUCCCUGUAAUCACCUACUCAUCAACUCUUUAUUCUCCAAUUUUUUAUCUUUCAUCAUUGGCUGAAGUAGCAGUUCGCUUUCUCUUUUCUUAUCCAUGUUUGUGACUUUUGAUCAGACAAAAUGAAUUAUAAUUGCCAUAGAAGACAAUUUAUCUGGGCUUGCAUCAACUGUCAAAAUAAUCACAAGAGAGGUGCUUUAAAAUCCUUUUAUCUUUUUCUGUGAUCCAGGUAUCUGUUGUAGGGCAUGCGGCCAUCUUAGCAGCUAUAAAUAAGUACAUGCCAUCCUUGGUAAUUCUUGUCACCCUUUCCCUCACAUUUAUGGUCUUAUCCUUUCUUUCUGCUAAUCCUGUUUCAUUGAUGAUACUGGAUAUUAGAUCCCAUCUCCAUAUUCCUCCGAGCGACUAGAUGUUGUAAAACAACUGAAAAGAAGCAAGAAGAUGGAAGUUCAGACAAUGAGCAACCAACAGGAUGCAUCCUCUGCUAUCUCAAAAAUAAAUGGUUAAUGCUAACGUGUUGUCCAUUGAUCACUUGAACAUGACAUGUAUACAUUUCUAUGAACAUGUGGAUGCUUACAUAUAUUCAUUGGUGAUGAUCAAAUUCGUAGUGUCAAGACAAAUAAUUCUACCAUUCUAAAGUAGAUUUUGCUUAAACAAAUAGCUUUAGCCCAGAAAGAAUAUGGUGUGAAUUGAGAUGGUGAUGAUCAAAAGGUGGGAUGGUGAAAAAUCAUAUAUAAGAGUUGAAAAAUAUCGGUUUUAAAUGAAGAAAUGAAAUUGAUCAAAAUUAGAACAAAAUAUAUUAAUGAAAAAAAUACUCGGAUUUUGAAUUCACUAUAAAUCAAUUUCGAUAUUAAAAAGCCAAUAAUAUUUAUAAUUUAUCAAGUUAGGUUGAAGACCUUAAAAUUUCAUCUAAACCGAUAUUUAAUUUAACUUUAAAUUUAAAUCCAUUAAAAUCUCAAAUUAUGAAUCUUAAUUGCUUUGAUCAAUUAUUCACAAUUAAGUGCAAUUUAUCUUUAACUGUCUUCUAAUAGAUCUUAUAAUGAAAAUAUCUCAUUUUAUCAAUAUUAACUAUUUGGCGAAUUGAUUAAGAAUUUUUUAUAUUCUUUAUUAAAGGAAACUGAAAGAUAAUAUUUUUCUCAAGUUAAUCAAUUCAUUCAAGACUACCUUUUAAUCUUAGCUUCUUCCUUUUAUAAUAGUAAAAUCUAGUCACUCGUGUUUGUGAGAUUAUACUCCAUACAAUUGUUUAGUUAAUAAGAAAAUGAAGGAAAAUCAAAAGAAAAUGUCAAAAACUUUUACUACAAAACUUUAUUUUAAAAAAUAUAAAAAUGGUCAAAAGAUUCAUAACAAAAAAUGAAAAACUAAUAGAUGAAAAUGCCAAAAAUUAAUUAAAUAUUAAAUCAAAAUUAGUUUAAAAUUUUUACUUAUGCAUAAAAAAAAGGUUAUUGACAGGUUUUUAUUUUUCUAUUGAAAUCUUUAUAUUUAGUUUGGAUCCUGAAAAUACAUAAGCGGAAAACACAUAAAGGAAUUUCAAAUUCUUUUAUUUGAUAUACAUCAUUCAUGCAACUUACAACUCACUGAGUUCAAAAGAAAGGAUAAGAAUUGAAAAGGGGGCUUCAAUGAUGAAAGCAAACAGUAGGGGCACUCACAUGGAAAAGAUGAAAAAGAAGAAAAAGGGGCGGAACCCAACAUAAAGUAAACAUCUCCUUUACAGGAACAGGCCACAAUUUACUGCCUGCUAAAAUGUCUUGCAUAAUCCAUGAAAUUAAUGUUCACUAAUCUCCACAAUUAUAGCUGCAAAAAAUUUCUUUCUGGGUACCAAAAAUCUCUCUUAACAGUUGAUGUUCAGGUGUCCAGAAAAUUAAUCAUAAUUACCAAAAGGAGCAGAGCAUGACUGGUCAGAAUCUUUUCAGGCUAAGAAUGAGAAAACAAGAAGAAAGCAGCAAAUGUGGGACAGGAGAACCAACACUCCCAUCUAUCUCUUUGGAUUCCCAUUACAGAUUGUCUACCACAAUGACCCACCAACGCGUCUUGCAUAGUCUACCCACCAAAAAGUUUUGAUGCGGGGAAUCUUUUUUCUUUCUUUUUUUCUUUUCUAUUUUGGUGGGCUGUUAAGGAACUGUUGUUCAUCAGAUCCAUUAAGGCAACUCACCCAUCUCUUCUCUUUUGAGUUCUUCAGUCGUCUUUCAAACUCAUCUUUUUCCUGUCAUCCCCUCAAGCAAUGGAUUGUGUGAGCCCAAUCUUGGACGUCGCCACCCGCUUGUGGGAUUGCACCGCCAAGCGUGUAGUUUAUAUUCGUGAGCUUGAAAAAAAUCUCAACUCUCUGGAGCGCUUGACGAAGGAACUGAGCAACUUAAGAACGGAUGUGAUGGCAGAAGUUGAGCGUGAGGAGAAGGAGGAGGUACCACAGCGUAGGCGUAAGAAUGAAGUGGGUGGUUGGCUCAGCGCUGUACAAGCCAUGGAAGAAGAAGUGGAAGAAAUAUUGCAAAAUGGGCGUCAAGAAAUCCAACAGAAAUGUCUCGGAACCUGUCCCAAGAAUUGUAGGUCAAGAUACAGGCUGGGGAAGACUGUGACUGAAAAGAUUAAUGCUGUGACUGAAUUAACGGACAAAGGGCAUUUUGAUGUUGUGACUGAUAGGUUGCCUCGUGCUCCGGUGGAUGAGAGGCCGAUGGGGAAGACUGUGGGCUUAGACUUGAUGUUCGAGAAGGUUCGGAGAUGCCUGGAAGAUGAGCAAGUAAGAAGUAUUGGGUUGUAUGGAAUUGGGGGUGUUGGAAAAACGACCCUCUUGCGGAAAAUCAAUAAUGAGUAUUUUGGUAAAAGUAACGAUUUUGAUGUGGUGAUAUGGGUAGUGGUGUCGAAACCAAUCAGCAUAGAAAAAAUUCAAGAAGUGAUUCUGAAGAAAUUAACGACCCCAGAGCACAACUGGAAGAGUAGUAGCAAGGAGGAGAAGACUGCAGAAAUAUUCAAGUUGUUGAAAGCCAAAAACUUUGUGAUAUUGCUUGAUGAUAUGUGGGAGCGACUCGAUCUCUUGGAGGUGGGGAUCCCUGAUUUGAGUGAUCAAACGAAGUCCAGAGUAGUACUCACUACGAGAUCUGAACGAGUAUGCGAUGAAAUGGAAGUUCAUAAGAGGAUGAGGGUAGAGUGUUUGACACCGGAUGAAGCAUUUUCUCUGUUCUGUGAUAAGGUUGGUGAGAAUAUCCUGAAUUCACAUCCGGAUAUAAAAAGGCUUGCUAAGAUUGUUGUUGAAGAAUGUAAAGGACUGCCACUUGCCCUCAUCGUCAUUGGGCGAUCCAUGGCUAGCAUGAAAACUCCUCGGGAGUGGGAGCAAGCAUUACAAAUGCUGAAGAGUUACCCAGCAGAGUUUUCAGGUAUGGGAGAUCAUGUAUUUCCAAUUUUGAAAUUCAGUUACGAUCACUUGUACAAUCCUAUCAUCAAAUCAUGUUUCCUAUAUUGUUCUUUAUUCCCCGAAGACCAUGAAAUUUGGAAUGAAGAACUCAUAGAUCUUUGGAUCGGGGAGGGGUUUCUGAACAAAUUUGCUGAUAUACACAAAGCACGCAACCAAGGAGAUGAGAUUAUUAGAAGCUUAAAACUUGCAUGUCUCUUGGAAGGUGAUGUAUCGGAAUACACUUGUAAGAUGCAUGAUGUGAUCCGUGACAUGGCUCUUUGGUUAUCAUGUGAAUCUGGGGAAGAAAAUCACAAAAGUUUUGUACUAGAACAUGUUGAGUUGAUUGAAGCAUAUGAAAUUGUGAAAUGGAAAGAAGCUCAACGGAUUUCACUAUGGCAUUCUAAUAUCAAUGAAGGACUCUCUCUAUCACCCCGUUUCCUCAAUCUCCAAACUUUGAUUUUGAGACAUAGUAACAUGAAGUCACUUCCAAUUGGAUUCUUCCAAUUCAUGCCUGUCAUAAGAGUUUUGAAUUUGUCAAAUAAUGCAAAUUUAGUAGAGUUACCUUUGGAGAUUUGUAAAUUAGAGAGUUUGGAAUAUCUAAAUCUAGAAUGGACGAGAAUAAAAAUGAUGCCUAAAGAGCUGAAGAAUUUGACAAAACUGAGGUGUUUGAUGUUAGACUAUGUAGAGGGGCUUGAAGUAAUUCCAUCAAAUGUGAUAUCUUGCCUUCUAAAUUUGCAGAUGUUUAGAAUGAUGCACUUCUUUUUCUCGGAUAUUAUGGAAUAUGAUGCAGUUGGAGUGUUGCAGGAGAUGGAGUGCUUGGAAUACCUGAGUUGGAUAAGUAUCAGCUUAUUUACAGUCCCAGCUGUUCAAAAAUAUCUCACCUCCUUGAUGCUGCAGAAGCGCAUACGAGAGCUAAACCUGAUGGCGUGCCCAGGUUUGAAGGUGGUGGAGCUGCCACUUUCGACUUUGCAAAC